RNAcentral lists this non-coding RNA (21 nucleotides) under Arabidopsis thaliana (thale cress). The record is from RNAcentral. Lineage: Eukaryota; Viridiplantae; Streptophyta; Magnoliopsida; Brassicales; Brassicaceae.
AAGGUGACGGUUCGGUCUAAG